AUGGAGGAGGAGGAGGUCGCGGUGGCCGUCGCGUCCCAUCGGUGGGGUUGGAGAACGUCCUGGGAGCGCCCGUGGGUUUUCUGGAGGUGGUUUGGGGUCCAUCUGCAGUUUCUGGGCCCGUCUGGGGGUCCAUCAACAAUUCCAGGAGCCAUCUUGGUGUCCAUCAACAAUUCCAGGAGCCAUCUUGGUGUCCAUCAGCAAUUCCAGGAGCCAUCUUGGUGUCCAUCAACAAUUCCAGGAACCAUCUUGGUGUCCAUCAUCAAUUCCAGGAGCCAUCUUGGUGUCCAUCUUCUCCUGAUCCUCCUGGGUCCAUCCUGGUGUCCAUCAACAAUUCCAGGAGCCAUCUUGGUGUCCAUCUUCUCCUGAUCCUUCUGGGUCCAUCAACAAUUCCAGGAGCCAUCUCUGUGUCCAUCAACAAGUCCAGGGGCCAUCUUGGUAUCCAUCAUCUGCAGCUUCAGGACCUAUCUUGGUGUCCAUCAUCAAUUCCAUGGCCCAUCUUGGUGUCCAUCUUCUCCUGAUCCUUCUGGGUCCAUCCUGGUGUCCAUCAUCGUCUCCUGCUUCUCCUGAGCCCAUCUUGGUGUCCGCCAUCCCUCCUGGGCCUACCUUGAGGUUCAACAUCUCCUGGGCCCACCUUGGUGUCCAUCAUCUCUUCUUGACCCUACUGGACCCACCUUGGUGACCCCAGAUCUCCACCAGGUCCCACCUCGGCAUCCCCAGUGUCCACCAGGACUCACUUUGGUGUCCACCAGGUCCCGCUUUGAUGCUCCCAAAUCUCCACCUGGACUCACCAUGGGACCUCCAAUCUCCACCAGGCGCCACCUUGGUGCCCACCCAGGCUCUUCCAGGCCCCACCUUGGUGGCCCCCAAUCUCCACCAGGUCCCACCUUGGUGCCCUCAGUUUCCUCCAGGUCCACCAAGAGCCACCUUGGUGCCCCCAAAUCUCCUCCAGGACCCAACUUGGUGCCCCCA
Long non-coding RNA from Malurus melanocephalus (red-backed fairy wren), 969 nucleotides. RefSeq lists it as uncharacterized. The transcript has 3 exons. The record is from RefSeq and is a predicted model, not a curated record. Lineage: Eukaryota; Metazoa; Chordata; Aves; Passeriformes; Maluridae.